UACGUAGGCUGCGAGCGUUAAUCGGAAUUACUGGGCGUAAAGCGUGCGCAGGCGGUUAUGUUAGACAGAGGUGAAAUCCCCGGGCUCAACCUGGGGACUGCCUUUGUGACUGCAUGACUAGAGUACGGCAGAGGGGGAUGGAAUUCCGCGUGUAGCAGUGAAAUGCGUAGAUAUGCGGAGGAACACCGAUGGCGAAGGCAAUCCCCUGGGCCUGUACUGACGCUCAUGCACGAAAGCGUGGGGAGCAAACAGG
This 253-nucleotide ribosomal RNA is filed under the name uncultured bacterium. Its description in RNAcentral is "partial 16S ribosomal RNA". It matches the Rfam family "Bacterial small subunit ribosomal RNA", at positions 524 to 776 of the family's 1533-position model. The record is from RNAcentral.